CUGUUUCGCCAGGACAGGAAGUGACCUCUUACAGUAAACAGCGCGUCACCUGUGUCAACAAGAAACGUGGAUACGUUCUGAUUGCAACGUUUGUCCCCCCCCCCCCCCUCGAGAAUGAACGCCGCCUUUCUCCCAGGAGACAACAAGUGGAAAAGCAGGAAGGUUCCUAUCAACAGAGUCUCCCGGUCAAGAAGAACCUGGACGUCCGUGUGACCUGACACCCCCCACUUCCCCCCCAUGUAAGGUGAUUCGGUGGUUGAACCUGCAUGUCGGAACAUGACCAUGAGGUAGAUAGCAUCAAUGAAGAAGAGCCUUUUUGGCCCCCAGCAGAGUGCUCAGGUACCACCACGACUCUUCAGUUUAUAUUGAAACGGACCCGUCAUGACUUGUUGGUGGCUGACUGCUCUGCAAACUAUGAACUUUUAUGGCUUUAGGCAGAACAACAAAGCUUCCACUAAGUACUAUUUGAUAA
Long non-coding RNA from Nerophis ophidion (straightnose pipefish), 472 nucleotides. RefSeq lists it as uncharacterized. The transcript is spliced from 3 exons. Lineage: Eukaryota; Metazoa; Chordata; Actinopteri; Syngnathiformes; Syngnathidae. The record is from RefSeq and is a predicted model, not a curated record.